UCCCUCUCAGGGUCAGCCCUGGAGAGUUUCCAGUACUCUACCAACCUUGGCUAUGGGAGGGAGAGUCAAGCAGAGGCCUACCCAUUCCAUUCCUAGCUUGGCCAGUGGCUAGCGAUUGGAAAGCAAUCUGCUACAAGU
Molecule: small nucleolar RNA, 138 nt
Organism: Tachyglossus aculeatus (Australian echidna)
Lineage: Eukaryota; Metazoa; Chordata; Mammalia; Monotremata; Tachyglossidae
Source: RefSeq, a predicted model, not a curated record